ACCUCACGGUUGGGACAUUGCAUGAGUUUCCCACUAAAUCUCUCCCACACCUCAUAUAGAGGUUCUCAAUUCAAUUAAUGAAAAUUAGUGAUUUCCUCAUAAAGGC
This is a small nucleolar RNA of Capsicum annuum, 106 nucleotides long. Lineage: Eukaryota; Viridiplantae; Streptophyta; Magnoliopsida; Solanales; Solanaceae. The record is from RefSeq and is a predicted model, not a curated record.